UACGGAGGGUGCAAGCGUUGUCCGGAUUUAUUGGGUUUAAAGGGUGCGUAGGCGGCCCUGUAAGUCAGUGGUGAAAUUCUUGAGCUUAACUGAAGGAUUGCCAUUGAUACUGUAGGGCUUGAGUACAGAUGAGGUAGGCGGAAUUGAUGGUGUAGCGGUGAAAUGCAUAGAUACCAUCAAGAACACCGAUUGCGAAGGCAGCUUACUAAGCUGGAACUGACGCUUAUGAGCGAAAGCCAGGGGAGCAAACGGG
Molecule: ribosomal RNA, 253 nt
Filed under: uncultured bacterium
Lineage: Bacteria
Description: partial 16S ribosomal RNA
Rfam family: Bacterial small subunit ribosomal RNA
Source: RNAcentral